Photinus pyralis (common eastern firefly) is the source of this 190-nucleotide long non-coding RNA. RefSeq lists it as uncharacterized. The transcript is spliced from 2 exons. NCBI's taxonomy places the organism in Eukaryota, Metazoa, Arthropoda, Insecta, Coleoptera, Lampyridae. The record is from RefSeq and is a predicted model, not a curated record.
UUUGAUUGCGACAAGCACACCACCACCACGAACUUUGACACUCGUUACGGGCGACCUAUCUUUGCGGAGUUAACCACGUUUCCGUUAAAGCAAUAACGUCGAAAUCGAUGGAUAGUGAAUUACAAUAAACCGAUUUCACCUUAGUCUUUAGGCCUCUAACAUUUUGAUAAUAAAUAUCCAUAAAUGCAGA